RNAcentral lists this ribosomal RNA (345 nucleotides) under uncultured soil bacterium. Its description in RNAcentral is "bacterial SSU rRNA". It matches the Rfam family "Bacterial small subunit ribosomal RNA", at positions 26 to 364 of the family's 1533-position model. The record is from RNAcentral.
AGGACGAACGCUGGCGGCGUGCUUAACACAUGCAAGUCGAGCGAGAGCCAGUCGAGGGGUAACCCUCGGCUGGGGACAGCGGCGAACGGGUGCGUAACACGUGGGCAACCUGCCCCUGACACUGGGAUAACCCCGGGAAACCGGAGCUAAUACCGGAUACUCUCGGCCGAUCACAUGGCUGGCCGAGGAAAGGUCCGCCGGUCAGGGAUGGGCCUGCGGCCUAUCAGCUUGUGGUGAGGUAACGGCCCACCAAGGCGACGACGGGUAGCUGGUCUGAGAGGACGACCAGCCACACUGGAACUGAGAUACGGUCCAGACUCCUACGGGAGCAGCAGUGGGGGAAUA